GCUUUAAACCCUCUGAAACAUGAUUCAACGUUUAAGAAACCAUUCAGCUGCUCUGAGUGUGGGAAAAUAUUUGCCAACAAGGCACACCUGAAGAUACACAUGAGAACUCACACAGGAGAGAAGCCUUUCAGCUGCAGUGUUUGUAAGAAAUCUUUUAGAGUAAGUGGAGGUUUACAGUACCACAUGAAAACUCACACAGGUGAAAAACCUUUCAGCUGCUCUGAGUGUGAUAAAGCUUUCACUGUAAGUGGAACCCUGAAGAAACACAUGAGAACUCACACAGGAGAGAAGCCUUUCAGCUGCAGUGUUUGUAAGAAAUCUUUUACACAGGGUGGACAUUUACGGUCACACAUGGCAGUCCACACAGGAGUGAAAAUAUUCAGCUGCAGUGUUUGUAACAGAACAUUUGCCCGGCGUUCUGAUGUCAAAACACAUAAAUGUGUUGGUCCGAUGGAAACGGAAGCUGAUAGAGAGGACUGUGGAGGACCAGAACUAGCCACGAGCUCACAUCCACAACCAGAGACUGAAGACCAGACUGGAGACUCUUCUGAUCCUGAGACCGAUGACAUGGAGUAACGUUUGUGACUUUAAGUCUGAGCAAAACUUCUUAAGUAUCAAACAAAACUCUUUAUGUAUCAACAUCUACAGUAUAUAGAAGACAUUAUAUUGUGUGGUAGGAAAGAGUACACUCUUAUUUUAAAUAUUUUAUUAGAUAUUGUUUUGUCUUGUAAUGUCUGUCAUAUAAUCAAGAAAUCAGACAAAUGUAACCACCCGAUAUUUUAUACGGCCCACAUAUAUAUUCACUUCUUUCUAAGUAACGUGUGUUUAGCAAGAUUCACUAAUAAUCAUGUAUCAAUAUGGGAGUUUAUUCAAUACACAUUGGGUUCAUGUUUUAAUUUUGUGUGUCAUGUUUAAGCACAAUUUAGGCCCAGCGGUCUCGGAGAGGAGACUUUUCUCUCUGUGUCAGGGAGACAGGAAGUGUAGGUUGAAAGCUAUCGUUAAGGGAGAUGUGAGGGAGUUAGCAUAGGGAAGUUAGCCUAGCAAGGUGUUUCCUGUCAGGGAGCGGAGGAGUUUUCUCUUUGAAGCAAAGCUGAGAUGGACAUAUUAUGAUCUGUAGAAAACUAUAAAAAGUCACUUGUGCAUUGCUAUGUUCCAAGGUAAUAUGAUCAGUGACACCAAAAUGAUUAAGGUCUUUUGACAUGUAUAGUGUAUCCUAUGCCAGCAUCCUUAUUUAGGCCACGGUAAAGCAAUAUAAUUGUUUGAUAUGACCGGUGUGGUACACCAGGACAUGCUGAGUACCCUCCAGGAUGAAAUAAAGUGAAAUCAUUUGAAGUACA
This is a long non-coding RNA of Sander lucioperca (pikeperch), 1337 nucleotides long. RefSeq lists it as uncharacterized. The transcript has 2 exons. The record is from RefSeq and is a predicted model, not a curated record. Lineage: Eukaryota; Metazoa; Chordata; Actinopteri; Perciformes; Percidae.